GAUGAAGAACGCAGCGAAAUGCGAUAAGUAAUGUGAAUUGCAGAAUUCAGUGAAUCAUCGAGUCUUUGAACGCACAUUGCGCCCCCUGGUAUUCCGGGGGGCAUGCCUGUCCGAGCGUCAUUGCUGCCCUCAAGCACGGCUUGUGUGUUGGGCCGCCGUCCCCGGUUUCCCCCGGGGACGGGCCCGAAAGGCAGCGGCGGCACCGCGUCCGAUCCUCGAGCGUAUGGGGCUUUGUCCCCCGCUCUGUAGGCCCGGCCGGCGCCAGCCGACACCCAACUUUAUUUCUAAGGUUGACCUCGGAUCAGGUAGGGAUACCCGCUGAACUUAAGCAUAUCAAUAAGCGGAGGA
RNAcentral lists this unclassified non-coding RNA (348 nucleotides) under soil metagenome. RNAcentral's name for it is "partial contains 5.8S ribosomal RNA, internal transcribed spacer 2, and large subunit ribosomal RNA". The stretch from base 1 to 120 matches the Rfam family "5.8S ribosomal RNA", at positions 35 to 154 of the family's 154-position model. The record is from RNAcentral.